UACAGAGGGUGCAAGCGUUGUUCGGAAUUAUUGGGCGUAAAGGGCGCGUAGGCGGCUGUACAAGUCAAAGGUGAAAUCCCUCGGCUCAACUGAGGAACUGCCUUUGAAACUGUACGGCUUGAGGCCGGGAGGGGGUAGCGGAAUUCCCGAUGUAGCGGUGAAAUGCGUAGAUAUUGGGAGGAACACCAGUGGCGAAGGCGGCUACCUGGACCGGUUCUGACGCUGAGGCGCGAAAGCGUGGGUAGCAAACAGG
Molecule: ribosomal RNA, 253 nt
Filed under: uncultured bacterium
Lineage: Bacteria
Description: partial 16S ribosomal RNA
Rfam family: Bacterial small subunit ribosomal RNA
Source: RNAcentral